RNAcentral lists this ribosomal RNA (255 nucleotides) under uncultured bacterium. RNAcentral describes it as "partial 16S ribosomal RNA". It matches the Rfam family "Bacterial small subunit ribosomal RNA", at positions 524 to 776 of the family's 1533-position model. The record is from RNAcentral.
UACAGAGGGUGCAAGCGUUUGUUCGGAAUUAUUGGGCGUAAAAGCGCGUGUAGGCGGCAUGGCAAGUCGGGUGUGAAAGCCCUCAGCUUAACUGAGGAAGUGCGCCCGAAACUGCCGUGCUUGAGUGCCGGAGAGGGUGGCGGAAUUCCCCAAGUAGAGGUGAAAUUCGUAGAUAUGGGGAGGAACACCGGUGGCGAAGGCGGCCACCUGGACGGUAACUGACGCUGAGGAGCGAAAGCGUGGGGAGCGAACAGG